Molecule: ribosomal RNA, 528 nt
Filed under: Gyratrix cf. hermaphroditus 214386089
Lineage: Eukaryota; Metazoa; Platyhelminthes; Rhabdocoela; Polycystididae
Description: SSU rRNA
Rfam family: Eukaryotic small subunit ribosomal RNA
Source: RNAcentral
AUGGUGAAACCGCGAAUGGCUCAUUAAAUCAGCUAUGGUUCCUUAGAUCUUACAUCCUUACUUGGAUAACUGUAGUAAUUCUAGAGCUAAUACAUGCCGUCAAUCCCUGACUUUAUAGGAAGGGUGGAUUUAUUAGAACAAAACCAACCGGCUUCGGCCGUUGGCUUGAUGACUCUGGAUAACUUUUCUGAUCGCACGGCCAAGCGCCAGCGACGUAUCUUUCAAAUGUCUGCCCUAUCAACUUUCGAUGGUAGGUGAUAUGCCUACCAUGGUUAUGACGGGUAACGGGGAAUCAGGGUUCGAUUCCGGAGAGGGAGCCUUAGAAAUGGCUACCACAUCUAAGGAAGGCAGCAGGCGCGCAAAUUACCCACUCUCAGCUCGAGGAGGUAGUGACGAAAAAUAACGAUAUGAGACUCAUACGAGGCCUCAUAAUUGGAAUGAGUACAAUUUAAAUCCUUUAACGAGGAACAAUUGGAGGGCAAGUCUGGUGCCAGCAGCCGCGGUAACUCCAGCUCCAAUAGCAUAUAU